Long non-coding RNA from Arachis stenosperma, 164 nucleotides. RefSeq lists it as uncharacterized. The transcript is spliced from 3 exons. The record is from RefSeq and is a predicted model, not a curated record. NCBI's taxonomy places the organism in Eukaryota, Viridiplantae, Streptophyta, Magnoliopsida, Fabales, Fabaceae.
CAUGCUCAUCAAUUGAGAUUUUAAAAUCUCUCAGUAUUGAACAUUUGAACUCUCCAUUUCAAUGGAUCCUGCUAAUGAGGUAGCCGAUCGUGAUGUUCCCAUUUCAGAGUCUGCAGAGCAUUCGACUUCUACAUUACCUCCUCUCCCAACCACAUCAUCUGAGC